RNAcentral lists this long non-coding RNA (2745 nucleotides) under Homo sapiens (human). RNAcentral describes it as "lncAB280.2". The record is from RNAcentral. Lineage: Eukaryota; Metazoa; Chordata; Mammalia; Primates; Hominidae.
GAGAGAGACGGGCGGCCAGGACAGGGGCCGGCUGUUUGCAGGGGAGGCAUGUGUGUGGAGAACGCCUAGGAGCACGUGGGUGGCCACGAACCCUGACCGUGCAGGUCGAGAAACUCUUCCAGGAUAGUAUGUGGUGGAUCGUGUCUGCCUAAAAGGUCGCUGGGUUACAAACUGUCAAGUCAGAGGAACACUACACGCUGGCACCAGCUGCUCCUCUGUAGCCACCCGUAUGUCCCUCCUGAGCCGUGGCAGGGAGUGACACCUUUGCCAAUACCACCAUCCACAGGGUCAACAUGACCCCGGGCCCUGGUCUUAGUAACUAGAGGAAACACACCGACUUCAGGCAUUGCUCACAGCCAGAGCUGGUGUUAACUGAAGAAUGUUUUAAUUCACCUGCCGAGGAACUCACACAUUCCUUGCCAGCAGGCACAAUGGCUCUUGAUAGCCUGUGUGCAGGGAACAAAUGUGUUGGCCCCAUGCUCAGGCCAUGCGUACACAUAAGAGCUGUCGUCUGGGUCUUGGCUAAAAUAAACUGAAUCUUCCCGAAAACACAGGUUCCUAUUACGGAGUCCAUGAUAGGAAAGAUGUUCAGCUCUGCUGCUAUCAUGGGGAAGUAGAGUGGUUGAUCUGAAAUCUCCAGAUUCUAAUCAAGGAGAAGAAUGCUGUGCUGUGGCCACAGACCCCACCGUGGUCUCAAAGAAAACCUGGAUCAGAGCCCAUCUUCUGAUCAGUGCCACACCUUCACAUGGGUGUGCAGCAUUUUACUGGGUGACUGCCUUUCAGAACCUUCUGGAAUUUUCCAGAUCCUUCCAGAUUGCAAUAAAGAAAAAGAAUGCAAUGUGUGGUCAUUAAUCUCAGCAUGGUCCUGCAGAAGAACUGGCUCUGAGCUGAUCUCCUAAGGGGCCCCACGUCUUCACAUGGGUGUGUAGUAUUUUACUGGGCAACUGCCUUUCAGAACCUUCUGGAAUUUUCCAGAGCCUUCCAGGUUCUAAUCAAGGAAAAGAAGGCAAUGUGUGGUCAUUAACCUCACUGUGGUCCCUCAGAAGACCUGGCUCUGAGCUGUCUCCUGAGGGGCCCCACAUCUUCACAUGAGUGUGCAGCACUUUACUGGGCAACUGCCUUUCAGAACCUUCUGGAACUUUCCAGAGUCUUCCAGGUUCUAAUCAAGGAAAAUAAGGCAAUGUGUGGUCAUUAACCUCACUGUGGUCCCUCAGAAGACCUGGCUCUGAGCUGUCUCCUGAGGGGCCCCACAUCUUCACAUGAGUGUGCAGCACUUUACUGGGCAACUGCCUUUCAGAACCUUCUGGAACUUUCCAGAGUCUUCCAGAUUCUAAUCAAGAAAGAGAAUGCAAUGUGUGGUCAUUAACCUCACCAUGGUCUCACGAAAGACCUGGCUCUGAGCUGAUCUCCUAAAGGGCCCCAUGUUUUCACAUGGGCAUGCAGCAUUUUACCGGGUGAGUCCUUAACUUCGCAGGACACAUUAGAAAGACAAAGGAUGCUAGCAAGUGACAAUUAUAUUUAAAGAAAAGGGCAGGAGACACAGCAUGAAACAGAAUGAUGCAUUGAACAGAACUAGAUUUGGGCUCAGGAGAGCUUGGAGAGCAGCCAGCAUCGACGGGGCGCUUACUAUGGGCUAGGUGCUCAUGCAACAGGUCAGAAGUAUAGCUUCUUAGUCCUGUCUACUGUACAAGGAGGCAAGUGCUAUUAUUAUGCUCCCCACUUUACAGACGUUGAAACUCAUGAGGUUUAGAAAGCCCGAGUAAUGCGUGACCAGCCUGGCCAACACGGCGAAACCCCGUCUCUGCUAAAAAUACAAAACUUCACCGCGUAUGGUGGUGCAUGCCUGUAAUCCCAGCUACUGGGAAGGCUGAGGCAGGAGAAUCUCUUGAACCCAGUAGGCAGAGGUUGCACUGAGGCACUGAGUCGAGAUUGGGCCACUGCACUCCAGCCUGGGAGACAGAGUGAGACUCUGUCUCAAAAAAAAAACAAAACAAACAAAGAAAGCAAGCCCAAGGAACACAAGUCCACACAGCAGGACCUGACACCAACACCAACAGGUCGGAGCUGAGCUGUGCUCCUGGCUGCUACGUGGUUUGUGACUUCACCAACCUGAUGACCUGGUCUUUGGUUUCUUGAUACUUGAAGUCCUGGAUUUCUUACGGAAAAGACCUCCUUCAAAAGGCUAGAGGGUGCUUUCUCCUUCACGUCACAUGUAUGCUCUGAAGACUCAAAAUAUAGUAACAACUCCACAACUCAUUUCCUUCUACAUGAAAACUAUCACAGAGUAACAAUAAAUUAUGAAGAACUAUAGGAAUUUGUCAUUAAGUGAAGUAUCUUUUAAAACUCUGUUAUUAAAAAUGGCAUUUAAAUGAAUGAUUCAAUAAUAAACACCUAGCAUGCAUGGUGUAUGUUAUGAACAUAAGACUGCCACUGAGCUUGCAUUCUGAACUUGAACUUUUCGAGUGUUUUCUGCAUGCCAUUAAAUUUCUACAUGAUAUUUUUGGGCCUAAAAAGAUCAGUAGCCUUCAAAAGGUGACGAUUUAUUAUCACUAGGUAGAGGCCUUAUAAUUUUAUGCCUACAUCAAAAUCAAGAUUAUCCAGGAAGGCUUUUCACAAGGGGUAAAGAACAGGGUUUGAAAGAUGCAAACACGUUGGCAGAACACAUUCAUAGUUCCGUGGCUUGCCUGAUAGAUUGUGACUGUCCUGAAAUUAUAAUAAAGUGUCUGAACUAUUGAUACUUCUCCA